This is an RNA transcript of Hibiscus syriacus, 1775 nucleotides long. It is a transcript of the gene named WD repeat-containing protein ATCSA-1-like, with no coding region annotated. The transcript has 9 exons. The record is from RefSeq and is a predicted model, not a curated record. Lineage: Eukaryota; Viridiplantae; Streptophyta; Magnoliopsida; Malvales; Malvaceae.
UCUGUGAAACAAGGGAGGGUAAGGCCGUAAGGGGACUGAUUCAGACAAAAACUCGGAAACUCGAAGGAAGGAAACUGCUAAGCAGGGGAAUUGUGACUGUUUAUGAUGUUUAAAAUUUGAAACCGAGAAAGGUUUUGACUACGGGGAAGAGCAAAAAUAAAUAAAGAAGAAGAAGCAGGGAGAAGAAAAUUUAGAAAAAGUCGAGGCGAAGAGAUGCUAGGAAAAUGUGGAAGGAAAUCGGAGAUAGAGAAAUGGGUAAAAUCCGUCCGAAUUCCUUUUCCAGUCAGAUCAAAUCCAAUCGGAUAUCGAAUCUCCAACUCUCCAAUAAUAAAGACAUCGUUUCUCCUCACAGAGGCUCCAUCAAUUCCCUUCAGGUGGAUUUGACUGAGGGAAGAUAUUUGUUAUCGGGCGCAUCCGAUGCAUCAGCUGCUGUUUAUGAUAUUCAAAGGCCAACUAACUAUGAAGGAAAUGGUCUGAUUGCCAAACACAAAUGUUUGUUUUCAGUCGAUAAGCAACACGGAAAGGGACAUAAAUAUGCCAUUUCAUCGGCCAUUUGGUAUCCUGUUGACACCGGACUAUUCGUUACAGGUUCUUAUGACCAUUAUAUCAAAGUUUGGGACACGAAUAGCACCCAGGUGGUGAUGAAUUUUAAAAUGCCUGGAAAGGUUUAUAGGACUGUGAUGUCUCCAUUGGCAACAUCUCACAUGUUGAUUGCUGCCGGAACUGAAGAUGUGCAAGUUCGCCUUUGUGAUAUUGCUUCGGGGGCAUUUGCUCACACUUUGUCUGGUCACCGUGAUGGAGUAAUGGCUGUGGAGUGGUCUACUUCCAGUGAGUGGGCCUUGAUAACUGGUGGAUGUGACGGUGCAAUUCGAUUUUGGGACAUUCGACGUGCUGGGUGUUUUCUUGUUCUGGAUCAGUCACAGUCUCAACUCGGAUGGCGUCCACCUGUCUUGGCUCGUUCUGCUGCAAAUAAGGUCUCAGUCUCAAAGUCACUGUCAGCAGGCCAAAACUCAUUGGGAAAACCACGAGCUCCACAAAAGAAAUAUGCCAAUGGGCAUGGAGUGAAACAGUCAACCAUUGGUCGAGUGCCAGCUAAGAGUUCUGCACGACAAAGAUUACAUCCAGGGAUGCUUUCCAUUCAAGAUCGUGCUACUGCUCAUUAUGGUGCUGUAACUGGUUUAAAAGUAACAGAUGAUGGCAUGUACCUUCUAAGUGCAGGCUCUGAUUCAAGAAUAAAGUUGUGGGAUCUUGAAUCUGGCUACAACACACUUGUAAACUUUGAAAUGGUGCGCCUCCAAACAAGCAAGGCAAUUCAGUUGGCCAUAUCUCAGGAAACAGCUCAAGUCUUUGUCCCAUGCAUGACAGUUGUGAAAGCAUUUGAUAUCUGGUCAGGUAAAAUGUCCCUUGCAUUUCAUGGUCACUAUGAAUCUGUUAACUGUUGUUGGUUCAGUUCACAGGAUCAGGUAUGAUAUAGCUUCUCUACAACUUUCCCAAGGCUGCUUAAUUAUAAAUUAUGGAUAAGACAUUUGUGAGACAUGACAUGAGUCGUACCCUAAAAUGCUAGUAUUUUGGAUAUACAUUUUCCCCAUAUCUGCAAACAAUGGUUGUACUGUUAAAGCAAAAGAGUUGAAAUAGUUUUAUCAAAUCAUUAUAGGACCAGUCCACUCGAACCUGGCUUUUAAUAAAUUGCUUAGUAAAAGUAAAGCAAAUGCUUAAUGCCGAUAAUUUAUGUUUUCAUAUCAUGAAAUCUAGUCGGAUGUUUUUCAUUAAAGACU